Molecule: small RNA, 103 nt
Filed under: uncultured Prevotella sp.
Lineage: Bacteria; Pseudomonadati; Bacteroidota; Bacteroidia; Bacteroidales; Prevotellaceae
Description: RT-5 RNA
Rfam family: RT-5 RNA
About the family: Clostridium (Firmicutes). Environment (Cow rumen (57))
Source: RNAcentral
UGCGCCUGCAAAGGAGGCAGCCUUAUCCUUAAAUAAAUGUUUUGCAGGCAACAAAAUAAGGUAUCCUCCCGUGAUCCGCAAUUUUGCGGAUUCAAAACCGUUC